AGCAGCCGCGGUAAUUCCAGCUCCAAUAGCGUAUAUUAAAGUUGUUGCAGUUAAAAAGCUCGUAGUUGAAUUUCGGGAUUAGUACGCUGGUCGUGCCUUUGGUAUGUACUGGUGUUACUGAUUCCUACCUUCUGACGAACCAUCAUGUCAUUCAUUUGGUGUGGCGGGGAAUCAGGACUGUUACUUUGAAAAAUUAGAGUGUUUAAAGCAGGCUCGCGCUUGAAUACAUUAGCAUGGAAUAAUGAAAUAGGACGUUUGAUCCUAUUUUGUUGGUUUCUAGGAUUGACGUAAUGAUUAAUAGGGAUAGUUGGGGGCAUUAGUAUUCAAUUGUCAGAGGUGAAAUUCUUGGAUUUAUUGAAGACUAACUACUGCGAAAGCAUUUGCCAAGGAUGUUUUCAUUAAUCAAGAACGAAAGUUAGGGGAUCGAAGACGAUCAGAUACCGUCGUAGUCUUAACCAUAAACUAUGCCGACUAGGGAUCGGAUGAUGUUAAUUUUUAAUGA
Molecule: ribosomal RNA, 502 nt
Filed under: uncultured Glomus
Lineage: Eukaryota; Fungi; Glomeromycota; Glomeromycetes; Glomerales; Glomeraceae
Description: SSU rRNA
Rfam family: Eukaryotic small subunit ribosomal RNA
Source: RNAcentral